CACCACCCAGGCUUAUGUGCCCUCCUACUCAUUCGAGUCUAGCUUCAUAGAGCAGACGGAAUUACAGGUACUAUUCCCUCUUAAUUUUAUCUUGUAAAAAUAUUAAUAUUAUUAAAAUUAUUAAAAUUUUUAGGUACAAGAUAUAACUGGUGGGUACAUACCCAGUCCCACCACCCAGGCUUAUGUUCCCACCCAGGCAUUUGAGACUGGCUUCAUAGAGUAGGCGGGUAAACAUGUACUAUUAUUCUCAGGUUACUAUUAUAAAAUCCCUCUUAAUUUUACUACUUAAAAAUAUUAAUAUUAGUAAUUAUUAUUAAUACUAUUUUUAUGUUUAUCAAUAUAUUUUCUAAGUAUAAGAGCAGGCGGAAUUACACAUCUCUUAUGGUGCAAAAAAGUGUCCGACCAAAAAACUUAGGGAAUACAAGAUAGAGUUUAUAAAUAAUCACUUGUUUGGGAACACACUUUCUAAUCCACCCAUAUUUCCUUUCAUACAUCCGCAAAACUUGUAUACGCUGCAACACAACGCAUUCAAGGCCAUAAGCCCUACAACUUGGAUUUUCGAGCAUUCGUUGGACGCGUACAUGCUAUUGCUGCAGGAUAGAGAGGAGUACUACAAGACGCGGGGAAUUAGAAGAUGGGCAAAAUUUGGCUUCAUGGAAUCAUUCUUCAUGCAUCUUGGCAAGAGCUUUGCGCCCCUAAGUCAGGCGAAUGGGGCAGAGAGUUUUUGUCACCCCUAUGUCCACCCAGAUAUGGGCCCGGCAUUACAUGAAUGCACAUAUAUAUUCAUGCCAGUGUGUACUUAAGAGACCAAGCAUUUUAUCUUGCUUGUAUUCUCGGUGCCUGAAUGGGCAGUCACCAUCUUUGACCCUAUGUACGAUGAUAUCCCGUGUAUGACCAUCCAGCAAAUGUAUAGAGAAUUUGUUGAAGUUGCGGUAUGUAUAUUAAUUGUUAGUGUUGUACUUUUAUAUAUGUCAUACAAUUUAUAUCCAUAAAUAAUAUUACUUUGUGCACGCAGGUCAAAUUUAUACCAGUUUGUUUAAGAAUUGGUGAUCCGCAACAUGAGUGGCCAACACAGGAUCCACGUGUGCUCAUACCAAAGUCCAGACAUGUGAAGCCUGAUAAGACAGAUUGUGGUAUUUUCGUUUACAAAUAUGUUGAUUACUUUGUUAGGGGCAGUGUAAAUAUUCGUAGAGAAAAUGGUCCUUAGAAGAUUUAAUGGUAUUUCAAUACCGAAUUGCAUGGGAACUCUUUAGAUGUCAAGCUAGACUUCUUCCCGCGGAUGAUAUUUAGACUUAUAUUUUAAUUCAUAUUAUUGGUGUACUAAUUAUGAAAUCUAUGAAAAUUCCUGUUUAUGUUUACCAUUUCAUGUUUAACGCUAUUUAGUUAAUAUUAUUAUUAUUACUAUUAUUUUUAUUUUGGGGCAUAUAUAUACGAGGUAAAUAUGGAUUAUACGAAAUGUAGUUAGGAGGAUAAGGUUGCCGAAACAAAUGAAAUAGAUGUGGAGGCACAGCUAAAGAACUCUGUCUGCACCCACAGGUUGAGUUGCAGGUGGUGGUGUACCUGAUGCUGACAAAAACAUGGAAUUUCCGCCAUGCAAUUAAACAGUAGAUAUUGAUUAGCAACAAUAGAUAACUGGUGAAACAAAAAAGGUAGCAAUAUCAGAUCUCAAAAACAUUUCUUGACAAGCCAAGGCUAGGUGUGGGUGGGUGUUUGUGUGUGCUGGGUGGUUUGGGGGGGAGGUUACACAGGUAUCAAAGUGCUCAUCUUUAAACAGUUAAAUGUAUUGUGAGCCCUAAAAGAUGAUAGAACUUUAUCCAUUAGAAAUUGCAGGCAGCAUAUAUGCAAGCAGUUCUAACAACUUCCACAUGGAAAAUAAUGCAAGAACCAGUAUUCAGAAUUAGGAACUGAGAUAACUACCAAAAAGUUCUAGGGAAAAAAAUACAUCAGAUUAUUUAUUUCAAUCAGAUAAGCUUAUCAUAAUAGGUAAUCAAUUACGUGUUCCAACAAAACUCUAGUUUUCAAUUGCCAAUUAAGGCUACCAUGCACCAAUCAUCUAGAGAUAAAUGAGAGUAGGGUAAGUGAACAAAGUGGUAAACCCCAAACAAAUGAUAUUGUCAUUGCUCCAUACUGUCAAGUAUCAACAAUUCAAGAAACACAAGCUUCAUAUGAUCCAGACCACAAAUCUCAACAGAAUUGAGCCACACUAUUCACUCAUCCUGAGAAAUAACGUUUUUGCUUUGCUUAGGGUGGUUAAGAUGGCUCCAAGAAUAUCAAAAUACAAUUUCCUUCACAUGUCAAAUAUUAAGCAUUGUUGCACUACUAUCCAAUAUUCUUCCAUAACUAUACCAAGCCAAAAUAUAUACCCAAUUCAAUUUAAAACUAAACUCACCUUUCAAAUCAAUUAGAUGUUCCAAAAUAUUAUAUUAUUUACAUCUCGAUGAGUUAAUUUUCCAAAACACAAUUUCAAUCCCCAAUUUUUCACACAUUAGAUCCCUAAAAUAGUCAGGAGUUUCAAAAAUACAUAAAUAAAUUCGAAAUUCCAUAAAAUUAAAAAAAAUAGGACUUGAAGGGACUCACCCAAGAAAGGAGGUAGGAAAAGAUGGCGGUUACCAGCGGCAGAGAUGGAGAUGGAGAUGGUGGCGGUGGUGCUCCUUCGUUGCCGCGUGGAUUGUCUAUAUAUGGGGAUAGAUCGCAGUGUGAUGGCAGGGGUGGUGCUCCGUUCAUAUCGAAGCUGCGGUGGAGAUGGAGACGAAUCAAAGCUGCAUUAAAGGUAAGCAAAGAAGAGAAAGUGGCGAUGGAAAAUCGAGAGGAGAACCAAUAUGGGUUAUUUGGGCAAAACACGUAGCUCAGAUUUAUUCAACCUAUUCACAUAUGUAUUGGAUUUUAUAUUUUUUAUGAGAU
RNAcentral lists this long non-coding RNA (2901 nucleotides) under Panax ginseng (ginseng). RNAcentral describes it as "long non-coding RNA (PGIN_LNC015519)". The record is from RNAcentral. Lineage: Eukaryota; Viridiplantae; Streptophyta; Magnoliopsida; Apiales; Araliaceae.